CUUGCUUUCUGGAUCAGUGGCGAACGGGUGAGUAACACGUGAGCAAUCUGCCCUUGACUCUGGGAUAAGCGCUGGAAACGGCGUCUAAUACCGGAUACGAGCUGCGAAGGCAUCUUCAGCAGUUGGAAAGAAUUUCGGUCAAGGAUGAGCUCGCGGCCUAUCAGCUUGUUGGUGAGGUAAUGGCUCACCAAGGCGUCGACGGGUAGCCGGCCUGAGAGGGUGACCGGCCACACUGGGACUGAGACACGGCCCAGACUCCUACGGGAGGCAGCAGUGGGGAAUAUUGCACAAUGGGCGCAAGCCUGAUGCAGCAACGCCGCGUGAGGGACGACGGCCUUCGGGUUGUAAACCUCUUUUAGCAGGGAAGAAGCGAAAGUGACGGUACCUGCAGAAAAAGCACCGGCUAACUACGUGCCAGCAGCCGCGGUAAUACGUAGGGUGCAAGCGUUAUCCGGAAUUAUUGGGCGUAAAGAGCUCGUAGGCGGUUUGUCACGUCUGCUGUGAAAACUGGAGGCUCAACCUCCAGCCUGCAGUGGGUACGGGCAGACUAGAGUGCGGUAGGGGAGAUUGGAAUUCCUGGUGUAGCGGUGGAAUGCGCAGAUAUC
This 605-nucleotide ribosomal RNA is filed under the name Microbacterium sp. Air145. RNAcentral's name for it is "bacterial SSU rRNA". It matches the Rfam family "Bacterial small subunit ribosomal RNA", at positions 79 to 698 of the family's 1533-position model. Lineage: Bacteria; Bacillati; Actinomycetota; Actinomycetes; Micrococcales; Microbacteriaceae. The record is from RNAcentral.